UUUUUUGGUCUCUGUGUGC
Molecule: non-coding RNA, 19 nt
Filed under: Rattus norvegicus (Norway rat)
Lineage: Eukaryota; Metazoa; Chordata; Mammalia; Rodentia; Muridae
Source: RNAcentral